CAAAAUACAUCUUCAAGCGGUGGAUCAC
This 28-nucleotide ribosomal RNA is filed under the name Eutetranychus banksi. Its description in RNAcentral is "partial 5.8S ribosomal RNA". Lineage: Eukaryota; Metazoa; Arthropoda; Arachnida; Trombidiformes; Tetranychidae. The record is from RNAcentral.